Molecule: non-coding RNA, 217 nt
Filed under: Pediococcus acidilactici
Lineage: Bacteria; Bacillati; Bacillota; Bacilli; Lactobacillales; Lactobacillaceae
Description: T-box sequence
Rfam family: T-box leader
About the family: Uncharged tRNA acts as the effector for transcription antitermination of genes in the T-box leader family. T-boxes are found upstream of many aminoacyl-tRNA synthetase genes and some amino acid biosynthetic genes usually in Gram-positive bacteria.
Source: RNAcentral
AAUAAAACGUAAAAAAAGAGGGACUUCUAGCAAUCAGCAGUUCAGCGAGCUAACGUUGGUGUGAGGUUAGUCUGCUAGUUAGAAGGACAAUCACUUUUGAGUGCAGCGUUGAAGUAUUUAGUAGACGCUGUCGGUUUCCACCGUUAUGGGAAAAUGAGGAGGACGUUUUUAACGUCCUUGAAUUUGGGUGGUACCACGAUUUGACUUCGUCCCUAGU